GAUGAAGAACGCAGCGAAAUGCGAUAAGUAAUGUGAAUUGCAGAAUUCAGUGAAUCACCGAAUCUUUGAACGCACAUUGCGCCCGCCAGUAUUCUGGCGGGCAUGCCUGUCUGAGCGUCAUUUCAACCCUCAUGCCCCUAGGGCGUGGUGUUGGGGAUCGGCCAAAGCCCGCGAGGGACGGCCGGCCCCUAAAUCUAGUGGCGGACCCGUCGUGGCCUCCUCUGCGAAGUAGUGAUAUUCCGCAUCGGAGAGCGAUGAGCCCCUGCCGUUAAACCCCCAACUUUCCAAGGUUGACCUCAGAUCAGGUAGGAAUACCCGCUGAACUUAAGCAUAUCAAUAAGCGGAGGA
RNAcentral lists this unclassified non-coding RNA (348 nucleotides) under soil metagenome. Its description in RNAcentral is "partial contains 5.8S ribosomal RNA, internal transcribed spacer 2, and large subunit ribosomal RNA". The stretch from base 1 to 120 matches the Rfam family "5.8S ribosomal RNA", at positions 35 to 154 of the family's 154-position model. The record is from RNAcentral.